CAAAAACAUUGCUUCAUGAAACACAUAUGAAGUAAUUCCUGCCCAGUGAUUCAACGGCCGCGGUAUCCUAACCGUGCAAAGGUAGCAUAAUCACUUGCCCAUUAAUUGUGGGCUGGAAUGAAAGGACUAACGAAAUAAGGACUGUCUCUGUAUGUUUCAUAAAAAUUAAUCUCUAACUGAAGAGUGUUAGAUAAUGUUGAAGGACAAGAAGACCCUAUAGAGCUUUAUUUUUAAAGGUAUGUAACCCUCAAAAAUUCGGUUGGGGCGACCAGGGAAAAAUUAAUCAUCCCUUAAUAUUAGAUAAAUAUAUCCAACUCUUGACCCUUUUAAGAUCAUAAAAUCAAGCUACCUUAGGGAUAACAGGCUAAUCCCACUAAAGAGUCCUUAUCAAUAGUGGGGUUUGGCACCUCGAUGUUGGCUUAGGGAAUCCAUGUGGCGCAAAAGUCACAUAACGAUGGUUUGUUCAACCAAUAACCCCUACAUGAUCU
Molecule: ribosomal RNA, 488 nt
Filed under: Dendrobaena ganglbaueri
Lineage: Eukaryota; Metazoa; Annelida; Clitellata; Crassiclitellata; Lumbricidae
Description: partial 16S ribosomal RNA
Rfam family: Bacterial large subunit ribosomal RNA
Source: RNAcentral